Small nuclear RNA from Cavia porcellus (domestic guinea pig), 200 nucleotides. Its record names the gene U2. It matches the Rfam family "U2 spliceosomal RNA". From Rfam's summary of the family: U2 is a small nuclear RNA (snRNA) component of the spliceosome (involved in pre-mRNA splicing). Complementary binding between U2 snRNA (in an area lying towards the 5' end but 3' to hairpin I) and the branchpoint sequence (BPS) of the intron results the bulging out of an unpaired adenosine, on the BPS, which initiates a nucleophilic attack at the intronic 5' splice site, thus starting the first of two transesterification reactions that mediate splicing. The record is from Ensembl. Lineage: Eukaryota; Metazoa; Chordata; Mammalia; Rodentia; Caviidae.
AUCUUGGCUACGAAAUACUUUAUUCUAAGGUCAAGUACAAUAUCUGUUCUUAUCAGUUUAAUAUCUGAUCUGUCCUCUCUCUGAUGACAGCAUGUGAAAUGAACCUUUGGAUGUUUGGAGCAGAGAGAUGGAGCAAGAGCUUGUUCCAUCCACUCCACGAAUCAGCCUAGAAUUGCAGUACCUCCAGAAUUGCACUUGGG